This 240-nucleotide unclassified non-coding RNA is filed under the name soil metagenome. Its description in RNAcentral is "partial contains 5.8S ribosomal RNA, internal transcribed spacer 2, and large subunit ribosomal RNA". The record is from RNAcentral.
AACGCACGAGACCUGCGGACCUGCGGAAGGAUCAUUAUCGAGUUUUGACUGGGUUGUAGCUGGCCUUCCGAGGCAUGUGCACGCCCUGCUCAUCCACUCUACACCUGUGCACUUACUGUGGGUUUCAGACGGCGUAGCGAGCCUUUACGGGUUCGUUAAAGCGUCUGUGCCCGCGUUUAUUACAAACUCUUACAAGUAAAAGAAUGUGUAUUGCGAUAUAACGCAUCUAUAUACAACUUU